This is a non-coding RNA of Mycena galericulata, 93 nucleotides long. The record is from the annotation of a GenBank genome assembly. NCBI's taxonomy places the organism in Eukaryota, Fungi, Basidiomycota, Agaricomycetes, Agaricales, Mycenaceae.
GACCUAGUAGCACAUGGUGUGCAUCUGCUUCAUGUUUCAAGUGUUUUCCAGUGUUUCUGCAGGAGGUCCCCUGUUUGCCUCGGGGCUGGGUCA